GUAGCAGAAUAGUUUGUUCUUUAAUUGGGAGUUGGUAUGAAAGGUUAAACAAAAAAUAUCUUUUAAGUUAAAUUAAGUAAAUUAAAGUUUAAGUGAGAAUGCUUAGAUAAUAUAAAGGGACGAUAAGACCCUAAAAGCUUAAUUUAUUUUGAUUGAAUUAGAAAUAUUGUAAAGUUAUGUUGAAAAUAAAAUUAGCUGGGGAAGUAGUUUUAUAGAAUUAAAUUGUAUUAGGAUUAAUAUCUAAGAUUUGAGGUCUUUAAAAUGAAAAUUGACGGAGAGAGUUACUUUAGGGAUAACAGCGCAAUAGGUUUGGAGAGUUCUUAUUUAUAAAGUUAUGUGCGACCUCGAUGUUGAAUUAAAAAGUCUUAGGGGGGCAGAUAACCUGUAAGAGGGUUUGUUCAACCUUUCAAUUUUU
This 415-nucleotide ribosomal RNA is filed under the name Pseudocrangonyx sp. 5 KT-2016. RNAcentral describes it as "partial 16S ribosomal RNA". The record is from RNAcentral. Lineage: Eukaryota; Metazoa; Arthropoda; Malacostraca; Amphipoda; Pseudocrangonyctidae.